CGCUGGCGGCACGCCUUAUACAUGCAAGUCGAACGAAGUAGCAAUACUUAGUGGCAGACGGGUGAGUAACAUGUAGGUAUCUUCCCUUUGGUGAGGAAUAACACGAGGAAACUUGUGCUAAUACCUCAUAAGUCUUUACGGAGAAAGCUUUAUGCGCCGAAGGAUGAGCCUGCACUUGAUUAGUUUGUUGGUGAGGUAAUGGCUUACCAAGACUUUGAUCAAUAGCUGAUCUGAGAGGAUGAUCAGCCACAUUGGGACUGAGACACGGCCCAAACUCCUACGGGAGGCAGCAGUAGGGAAUAUUGCACAAUGGAGGAAACUCUGAUGCAGCGAUGCCGCGUGAGUGAAGAAGGCCCUUGGGUUGUAAAGCUCUUUCGUCGGGGAAGAAAAUGACUGUACCCGAAUAAGAAGGUCCGGCUAACUUCGUGCCAGCAGCCGCGGUAAUACGAAGGGACCUAGCGUAGUUCGGAAUUACUGGGCUUAAAGAGUUCGUAGGUGGUUAAAAAAGUUGGUGGUGAAAUCCCAGAGCUUAACUCUGGAACUGCCAUCAAAACUUUUUAGCUAGAGUAUGAUAGAGGAAAGCAGAAUUUCUAGUGUAGAGGUGAAAUUCGUAGAUAUUAGAAAGAAUACCAAUUGCGAAGGCAGCUUUCUGGAUCAUUACUGACGCUGAGGAACGAAAGCAUGGGUAGCGAAGAGGAUUAGAUACCCUCGUAGUCCAUGCCGUAAACGAUGUGUGUUAGACGUUGGAAAUUUAUUUUCAGUGUCGCAGCGAAAGCAUUAAACACACCGCCUGGGGAGUACGA
RNAcentral lists this ribosomal RNA (803 nucleotides) under uncultured Pelagibacteraceae bacterium. Its description in RNAcentral is "bacterial SSU rRNA". It matches the Rfam family "Bacterial small subunit ribosomal RNA", at positions 34 to 885 of the family's 1533-position model. Lineage: Bacteria; Pseudomonadati; Pseudomonadota; Alphaproteobacteria; Candidatus Pelagibacterales; Candidatus Pelagibacteraceae. The record is from RNAcentral.